Molecule: long non-coding RNA, 2267 nt
Filed under: Nicotiana benthamiana
Lineage: Eukaryota; Viridiplantae; Streptophyta; Magnoliopsida; Solanales; Solanaceae
Description: long non-coding RNA (NBEN_LNC002845)
Source: RNAcentral
GAGGGAAGGAUGCCGGGGGUCUAUUUGGAAACAGCCUCUCUACCCCAGGGUAAAGGUAAGGUUUGUGUACAUACUACCCUCCCCAGACCCCACUGUGUGGGAUUAUACUGGGUUGUUGUUGUUGUUUGAGUUUAGAUAUUGCAACUCAGGAUCAUUUUCUUGCUUGCAUUUAAGAGAAUAUUUUGUUUCUGAAGAACUGUAAUGUAAAGGAUUUGAAAAUGUAGAAUUUAAAGUUUGCUAUUUGUCAAACAAUGUGAAUUUGAAUAAUCUUCAUACUGAAUAACAGCAGUAGAAGCUUGAUUUGUACAAAAAUUCAACUCAUAUUUUCGGAAACUUCUAAAUGCGACAAAGCAAAAGCAAUAGACUUUAAUAGGAAACAUCAAACAAGGCAAAAAGGUUUUGCUGUCUUCUGGGAAAUGGAGGCAGAGUGUCUGGUCAGGGAGGGGGAGAGUAGAGAAAUAACAGUUAGCUGCUCAAUUUGGACACCAAAGUUGAAACCAUUCCACUGCAAGAGCGUCUGGCUGUAUUAAUUGUAUGGAUCCAUACACAUUCCAUAAGGAUGAUGCAAAUAAUGAAAUAUGAAGGCAGUAGAUUAGGGGAAGAAAUAUAAAGAAAAAUAUUACUGGUUACUUCUGACGUGCUUUCGUCUCUCUUGGGAAAUAACUACUACAUCUUUAUAGUAUAUUUCCAUCUCUGCAUGGAAGGAAAUACUACAUCCUUUCCUUUUUGUCACUCACUGAAAUUCACUCUAUGUAAUGUAUACACCCAGUCACCCCCAGAGUAUGUGACAAUAUCUAGUACUACAUUUCAAAUGUGCCAAUCGUUAGUCUGUGACUCAGUUGGGGAUUGUGUUUCUCUAGCGGGAGUGAGUACUGCUAUCCGUCAUAUCCUAUAAUAUGCAUAGGAACCAUCAGCUACACUGUUCUGAAUUUAGAUCCUGAAUUUGACUGCAGGAAGCGUGGAAUAAAUUCAAUGCAGAGGAGCUAAGAUGAGUUUGAGCUAUUAUAAGGUUCCCUUUUGUUGAGAAAGCAGACAGGUCUUGGAAGUGAAGCGACGAUGUACAAGUGGUCAAAUAGCUGUGCAAGUUGGCUCGACUGUAUUCUUUGGUGGACCGAUAUGAUACUGAUAUACUGAGUUGCUUCACAGGGAAUUAGUGACAUUCACGAAUUUACAUGUUUACAAUCUCCGUGUUGUGUCAUUUUUUUUUGUUUUGCAGUUGUCACAUACAGAUGGAAAUCUUCAUGAGCGAUUCCCACUUGCUCUGAAAUAUCAUAGCAGUAGGUUUUGGUGCAUAAUAAGUUGAUUUUGGUGAAACACUGGUGGUGGUUGGCAUGUUGCACAUGAUAUUGUUAUUGAUCAUCUAUCCUUGUAUUCAUGAUAAUUUGGUCUUUUUCUUAUGCAUGAAUAAGAUUUUUGAUCCCAUGUUAGAUUUCUAGGAUUGUGUUUAAAACUGAGGUUUGGAGUUGCCAAUAAUCUCCAUAGAAUUGUUUAUUGAAAGGCCUUGUUUGAUUUGGGGGAAUUAAUCACCUCAUUGUGGUUGGUGUCACUGUAUAGCUGUUUAUAUUUCGAACUAAAACUUGCAUAGCACAAUGCUCUUUUCGAUUCUUCUAGAAUGUUACAGCGAGUUGUCAAGUCUGGAGUAAGAUUGGACGUUGACGCAGUCACAGUUUGACUGAUAGGAGAAGGAAACUAACAGCAAGUUGAGAACUGUUCUUUGUUUAAUUAAGUGUAGUGGCCUCGUUUCUCUAGUUUGUCUGCUUUUCCUGAUCAUUUCUUUCCCAUUUUUCGGUGGGGUAGUGGGCAGAAUAUCGAUAGAUAUGUAUCAUAAACAAUUCUAAGUUCAGAUUCAGUUUGUCAAGAACAAUUACUUAUAUUUAGGAUAGGACAGAAUCAGUAACGAACCAAUAAUGAGGUAAAUUUAUCUAUAUUUCUAUUAUAUUAAAAGUGGGAAGCCUUAAACUAGAAAGUUGAAUUACAUAAAUACCCUUCUAAAUAACUUAAAUAUCCUACUUCUUUUUCAUAAAAAAAAAAUCCAGCCCCAACGAUUCAUACUCCAACAGUUACAACCUUUCCAUAACUUUUUAUUCUUCUGUAAAUAUGAAAAGCUACCACAUUGAGUCACAAUGGUUGGCGAAAUUUGUAGAACUUACCAAACAUAUACGAAGGAUUAGUUUUCCCAAUAAUGUAAAAUUUGCAGAUUCCCAGUUUCAAUCAAUAAGGCUAUUUAUGCAAGUGUGGCUGAGAAAGAAAACAAAAGGAGCAUUAAU